Long non-coding RNA from Fukomys damarensis (Damara mole-rat), 232 nucleotides. RefSeq lists it as uncharacterized. NCBI's taxonomy places the organism in Eukaryota, Metazoa, Chordata, Mammalia, Rodentia, Bathyergidae. The transcript is spliced from 3 exons. The record is from RefSeq and is a predicted model, not a curated record.
GUUCCAUCCAGCUGGGGAACGGGGACCUGACUCUUCUGUGCGAGGAGAGCUGUUUUUCCAACAUGACACAUUCAGACUACAAAAACAGACUUAAUGACAAUGCUAAAGUCAUGACUGACCAGAAAGAAAUGGAUCUCUCUGCAGCACAUCAUCUAUGAAUGGAGUGGAGAGCAUUUGCCAGGACAGAGGCAAAACUUGAAGAAGAAGAAGAAGAAGAAGAAGAAGAAGAAGA